GGAAUAUUGGACAAUGGGCGCAAGCCUGAUCCAGCCAUGCCGCGUGGAUGAUGAAGGCCCUAGGGUUGUAAAGUCCUUUCGGCGGGGAAGAUAAUGACGGUACCCGCAGAAGAAGCCCCGGCUAACUUCGUGCCAGCAGCCGCGGUAAUACGAAGGGGGCUAGCGUUGCUCGGAAUCACUGGGCGUAAAGCGCACGUAGGCGGAUUGUUAAGUCAGGGGUGAAAUCCCGGAGCUCAACUCCGGAACUGCCUUUGAUACUGGCGAUCUUGAGUCCGGGAGAGGUGAGUGGAACUGCGAGUGUAGCGGUGAAAUUCGUAGAUAUUCGCAAGAACACCAGUGGCGAAGGCGGCUCACUGGCCCGGUACUGACGCUGAGGUGCGAAAGCGUGGGGAGCAAACAGGA
Molecule: unclassified non-coding RNA, 402 nt
Filed under: plant metagenome
Description: partial contains 5.8S ribosomal RNA, internal transcribed spacer 2, and large subunit ribosomal RNA
Rfam family: Bacterial small subunit ribosomal RNA
Source: RNAcentral